GUGCCAGCAGCCGCGGUAAUACGGAAGAUGCGAGCGUUAUCCGGAUUUAUUGGGUUUAAAGGGAGCGUAGGCGGGCUUUUAAGCCAGCGGUCAAAUGUCAGGGCCCAACCUUGGCAUGCCGUUGGAACUGGGAGCCUUGAAUACACACAAGGAAGGUGGAAUUCGUCGUGUAGCGGUGAAAUGCUUAGAUAUGACGAAGAACUCCGAUUGCGAAGGCAGCCUUCUGGGGUGCGAUUGACGCUGAGGCUCGAAAGUGCGGGUAUCGAACAGGAUUAGAUACCCUGGUAGUCCGCACAGUAAACGAUGAAUGCUCGUCAUCGGCGACAGACAGUCGGUGACCAAGGGAAACCAUUAAGCAUUCCACCUGGGGAGUACGCCGGCAACGGUGAAACUCAAAGGAAUUGACGGGGGCCCGCACAAGCGGAGGAACAUGUGGUUUAAUUCGAUGAUACGCGAGGAACCUUACCCGGGCUUGAAUUGCAGGGGAACGAUACAGAGAUGUUGAGGUCCUUCGGGACUCCUGUGAAGGUGCUGCAUGGUUGUCGUCAGCUCGUGCCGUGAGGUGUCGGCUUAAGUGCCAUAACGAGCGCAACCCUUGCUGUCAGUUGCCAUCAGGUAGAGCUGGGCACUCUGGCGGGACUGCCAUCGCAAGAUGUGAGGAAGGUGGGGAUGACGUCAAAUCAGCACGGCCCUUACGUCCGGGGCUACACACGUGUUACAAUGGGGGGUACAGAAUGUUGCUUACGGGCGACCGUUGGCGGAUCAUUAAAUCCCCUCUCAGUUCGGACUGGAGUCUGCAACCCGACUCCACGAAGCUGGAUUCGCUAGUAAUCGCGCAUCAGCCAUGGCGCGGUGAAUACGUUCCCGGGCCUUGUACACACCGCCCGU
This 888-nucleotide ribosomal RNA is filed under the name uncultured rumen bacterium. Its description in RNAcentral is "bacterial SSU rRNA". It matches the Rfam family "Bacterial small subunit ribosomal RNA", at positions 505 to 1397 of the family's 1533-position model. The record is from RNAcentral.